This 1497-nucleotide long non-coding RNA is filed under the name Apteryx rowi (Okarito brown kiwi). Its description in RNAcentral is "lncRNA (ENSARWG00000010883.1)". The record is from RNAcentral. Lineage: Eukaryota; Metazoa; Chordata; Aves; Apterygiformes; Apterygidae.
CUUUCCUUUUGUAUUUGUUUCAAAAUGUUUGUGUGGKUUUUUUUGUUUGUKUUUUCUUUUUUUAGGGAGUUCCAUAGGUUACAGCAGCAGUGAACUGGUCUACUUGGAGAAUGCCCUACUACCUGCAAAUAGGGGUUGCUUUGUCUGAGCUGGCACUUAAUGAGAAGAAGCACAACCCACCCAGCUUAAAAUUUAUUUGAUACGGAUAAGUUUUCUGUGCUUGAAGUUAAAUAUAUAGCACAGUUCAAUCAAAUGCAGAGUCGUCAUUGUUCUGGGGUUUAAAGUGUUUCUGAAGACCGAGCACUUUCCUGGGCUUUUUUUUUGUUUGUUUUUAUACAACUACUCAGUUGGUCAUUCAGAAUGUUUAAUGCACUAGCUGAAUAAUUUUAUUUGCAGAAGUCAUAGUGUGAGUCCACAGGUUUGGGAGAGCUGUGAGGAAUAUCGUGUACUGUUGAUGACCUUACAGAAAAGGCUCAAAUUUGUACCUUCUGGAAACUACUCUUUCCUGAAGCUGAUGCUUGGCAACAGAAGAUGCCCCGCUGACCCUUUGCAGCUUGGCAGAAAAUGCUCCUUAGUGUGUGAGCCUAAGCCUGUACCCUAUAUCCCAGGGUACAAAUUGCUCAGGGCUGCUGGCACAGAGUUUCUAGCUCUCUAUAGAGACCGUGUAUGAUGUAGUGUCAUCACUGCUGGUCAAGGACACCUUCAUUUUAACAUAGCCCUCCACCGUGGGAAAACUAAGCUGUCUGCUGACAGGAUCAGGCACUUUCAGGUGGAUUCAGGUCACUGGAACAUUGGGAAUGUUCUGGUAUCAGGGAAUUUAGUUCUUUAUUCUUUUGCAACCUGUCCCUCAUCCAUUCUGAAGAUAUCAAGAGUACUUCAAGGAAAUAUUAAGGCAACUUAAGGUGACUCCUUGAGCUUUAUGAAGACCAGUAUACUCUAUCUGUAGGCUUUAUAACAGGAAAAAAAAGCUGCAGCCCUCAAUAGAGCUAGCCAUGUUCAAAACUUGAAUCAGCCAUGAGGAAAAGAUAUUCUUUUAACAAGGAAACUUGUGAUGUUUUAUUUACUGAAAAUACGCAUCUGUCUAUUUCAACUCUUCUCCCUCUCCCCUAUUUUUUAAUUUGUAUCUGUAACUUCUAAAAUGGGUUGCCAAAUCUGAUGCAAUGUUUUUUGGUGUGACCAAUUGUGAAACAAAUGUAAUAGUUGAUAUCCUCAGAUACUAUGUGCUUAGGCAUCGUUAUCUGAUCCUGUAUUUCUCAUUUAAUUCCAACCUGUACCAAUGCCUUGAGUUCAAAAGCUUAAUCAGAAUUUUAAAAUGACUUUUUUCAUUUUGAAUGUGGUGACUAAUUGACUUGUCUUGAUAAACAUACUGCUUGGCUUGGGAACUGCAAAGCUGGUUGUUCAGUUAAAAGGCAGUUUAUGCCAAAUAUUAACUAGCGGCAGUAAAAUCUCAGGAAAGAAAGAUGAAUAAAUGUACUUAAACAUUCCUUGUUUCUAACA